This 300-nucleotide unclassified non-coding RNA is filed under the name Hevea brasiliensis (rubber tree). The record is from RNAcentral. Lineage: Eukaryota; Viridiplantae; Streptophyta; Magnoliopsida; Malpighiales; Euphorbiaceae.
AGCGUCAUCCAUAAUCUUACUGCACAAACUCUGAUCCAAUUUCAUGCAAUUACAAAAAUCAAACCACUCCAGAACAGCUCUAUACUUUUUCUGACCUUCUGUGAAUAACCCAGCUAGUGAUCUCAGAGACAUGCAGCCCCGCACAUCUAAAUGUUCCAGUUGAAGUCUCUUGCAAUCUCUUAGAACAAGUACAGCUAACUUAGGAAGUUGUUUGAUACUUGCAGGUAGGAUCUCAAAAUUAUUCCCACUUAAAUGCAACUCUAUCAUUGAUGCUAAAGAGCCCAGGUCAUCGGGAAUUUG